GAUGAACGCUGGCGGUAUGCUUAACACAUGCAAGUCGAACGGACUCUUCGGAGUUAGUGGCGGACGGGUGAGUAGCGCGUGAGAAUCUGGCUUUGGGUUCGGGACAACCACUGGAAACGGUGGCUAAUACCGGAUGUGCCGAGAGGUAAAAGAGAAAUUGCCUGAAGAUGAGCUCGCGUCUGAUUAGCUAGUUGGUGAGGUAAAGGCUCACCAAGGCAGCGAUCAGUAGCUGGUCUGAGAGGAUGACCAGCCACACUGGGACUGAGACACGGCCCAGACUCCUACGGGAGGCAGCAGUGGGGAAUUUUCCGCAAUGGGCGAAAGCCUGACGGAGCAAUACCGCGUGAGGGAAGAAGGCUCUUGGGUUGUAAACCUCUUUUCUUAGGGAAGAACAAAAUGACGGUACCUAAGGAAUCAGCAUCGGCUAACUCCGUG
Molecule: ribosomal RNA, 435 nt
Filed under: uncultured bacterium
Lineage: Bacteria
Description: partial 16S ribosomal RNA
Rfam family: Bacterial small subunit ribosomal RNA
Source: RNAcentral